GACGAACGCUGGCGGCGUGCUUAACACAUGCAAGUCGAACGGGCCUUGUCCCCUUUUUUUUUGGGGGUGGGGUUAGUGGCGAACGGGUGAGUAACACGUGAGUAACCUUCCCCUCACUUCUGGAUAACCGCUUGAAAGGGUGGCUAAUACGGGGUGUUCUGGCCUGCUCGCAUGGGUGGGUUUGGAAAGAUUCGGCCGGUUUUGGUUGUUUUGGUGGGGGAUGGGCUCGCGGCCUAUCAGCGUGUUGGUGGGGCGAUGGCCUGGCAAGGCUUUGACGGGUAGCCGGCCUGAGAGGGUGAGCGGGCACGCUGGGACUGAGACACGGCCCAGGCUCCUACGGGAGGCAGCAGUGGGGAAUAUUGCACAAGGGGCGCAAGCCUGAUGAAGCGACGCCGCGUGAGGGAUGGAGGCCUUCGGGUUGUGAACCUCUUUCGCCAGUGAAGAAGGUCCUGCUCUUUGUGGUGGGGUUGACGGUAGCUGGGUUAAUGAAGCGCCGGCUAACUACGUG
RNAcentral lists this ribosomal RNA (508 nucleotides) under uncultured bacterium. RNAcentral describes it as "partial 16S ribosomal RNA". It matches the Rfam family "Bacterial small subunit ribosomal RNA", at positions 28 to 507 of the family's 1533-position model. The record is from RNAcentral.